GCGAGUGGUACAAGAGGAGCGGGCUCUUGGAAGGGAAGGAUAAAGACAAGAGGGGAAGAGAGAGAGAUAGUUUGAGAGGAACAGAGAGAGGGCGGGAGAUACAGCACAGCAGCUGUAAAAAGGAGAGAAAAUCCCGGCCCAGCCUCUGCAAGCAUCAUUUCUCACAUCGGAUUUUAUCUGUUCUCGUCGCAACCAAUUUACGCCAAGAUAUGAGUUUCACCCAUUGAAGUUACUUCAUGUUGAACUGACCGUGGUCCAGUGCCCUCCACUGUGCUGCCUCCUCCCAGUUCAGAGCCCUUCCGUCUGUCCGGUGUAAGCAGCCAUGACUAAGUCCUAUGAGUUUAACUGGCAGAAGCACCUGCCGGGCUUCAUGCAGGAAGGAGCCUCAUUCGACAGGUUUGACGAGGUAAGAAACAAACUCAAACUAUCAACAUUUUGGCAAACACUGAGUGCCAACUGCCAACCUGUCCUCCAACCAACUUGACAUUAAUCAUUAUAUUACAUUAUACAAUGGGUGAGUCUAAUCCUGGAUGCUGAUUGGUUAAAACCGCAUUCCUGCCGGUGUCUAUUCCACAAGUUUACUACCGGCUAAAGCUAUGAUGUUGAAAUGCCUAUUCACUCCGUUCCAUCUGACUGCUCAAUCCACUGGCUCAUCAGCCCAGCCAGACAGUUUAUCAACUUGAUCUCCACUAUAAAAAACAUCGAGACAUUCUCUCCCAUUUCUUUUAGACUAACAUGAUCUCCCAUUUCUUUUAGACUAGCAUUAUCUCCCAUUUCUUUUAGACUAGACUAGCAUUUGGUUUCAACAGCGGAGAUUUUUAUAAACCUUGCUGUCUGCAUCUCCGACAAAAUGAAACAAAUCUC
Long non-coding RNA from Oncorhynchus keta (chum salmon), 864 nucleotides. RefSeq lists it as uncharacterized. The record is from RefSeq and is a predicted model, not a curated record. The transcript is spliced from 4 exons. NCBI's taxonomy places the organism in Eukaryota, Metazoa, Chordata, Actinopteri, Salmoniformes, Salmonidae.